This 989-nucleotide ribosomal RNA is filed under the name uncultured bacterium. Its description in RNAcentral is "bacterial SSU rRNA". It matches the Rfam family "Bacterial small subunit ribosomal RNA", at positions 60 to 1046 of the family's 1533-position model. The record is from RNAcentral.
AGUCGAGCGGUAGAGAGAAGCUUGCUUCUCUUGAGAGCGGCGGACGGGUGAGUAAUGCCUAGGAAUCUGCCUGGUAGUGGGGGAUAACGUUCGGAAACGGACGCUAAUACCGCAUACGUCCUACGGGAGAAAGCAGGGGACCUUCGGGCCUUGCGCUAUCAGAUGAGCCUAGGUCGGAUUAGCUAGUUGGUGGGGUAAUGGCUCACCAAGGCGACGAUCCGUAACUGGUCUGAGAGGAUGAUCAGUCACACUGGAACUGAGACACGGUCCAGACUCCUACGGGAGGCAGCAGUGGGGAAUAUUGGACAAUGGGCGAAAGCCUGAUCCAGCCAUGCCGCGUGUGUGAAGAAGGUCUUCGGAUUGUAAAGCACUUUAAGUUGGGAGGAAGGGCAGUAAAUUAAUACUUUGCUGUUUUGACGUUACCGACAGAAUAAGCACCGGCUAACUCUGUGCCAGCAGCCGCGGUAAUACAGAGGGUGCAAGCGUUAAUCGGAAUUACUGGGCGUAAAGCGCGCGUAGGUGGUUCGUUAAGUUGGAUGUGAAAUCCCCGGGCUCAACCUGGGAACUGCAUUCAAAACUGACGAGCUAGAGUAUGGUAGAGGGUGGUGGAAUUUCCUGUGUAGCGGUGAAAUGCGUAGAUAUAGGAAGGAACACCAGUGGCGAAGGCGACCACCUGGACUGAUACUGACACUGAGGCGCGAAAGCGUGGGGAGCAACAGGAUUAGAUACCCUGGUAGUCCACGCCGUAAACGAUGUCAACUAGCCGUUGGGAGCCUUGAGCUCUUAGUGGCGCAGCUAACGCAUUAAGUUGACCGCCUGGGGAGUACGGCCGCAAGGUUAAAACUCAAAUGAAUUGACGGGGGCCCGCACAAGCGGUGGAGCAUGUGGUUUAAUUCGAAGCAACGUGAAGAACCUUACCAGGCCUUGACAUCCAAUGAACUUUCUAGAGAUAGAUUGUGCCUUCGGGAACAUUGAGACAGGUGCUGCAU